This is a long non-coding RNA of Oncorhynchus keta (chum salmon), 351 nucleotides long. RefSeq lists it as uncharacterized. The record is from RefSeq and is a predicted model, not a curated record. The transcript is spliced from 2 exons. Lineage: Eukaryota; Metazoa; Chordata; Actinopteri; Salmoniformes; Salmonidae.
UAGUGAACCCACCUGUUGACACUGUCAGGGUUAAGGUCAUGUGUUGGGGACCUAAGGGCUGUGGUAAGAUAUAUUCUGUCAGGGUUAAGGUCAUGUGUUGGGGACCUAAGGGCUGUGGCAGUUAUAUUCUGUCAGGGUUAAGGUCAUGUGUUGGGGACCUAAGGGCUGUGGCAGUUAUAUUUUGUCAGGGUUAAGGUCAUGUGACUUGGGGACCUAAGGGCUGUGGCAGUUAUAUUCUGUCAGGGUUAAGGUCAUGUCUUGGGGACCUAAGGGCUGUCUGUGGCAGUUAUAUUCUGUCACCUUAUAAACAGCUACAUUUUAAAGUCUAAUAAAUCACCUGAUUAAAUACCA